Molecule: ribosomal RNA, 305 nt
Filed under: uncultured bacterium
Lineage: Bacteria
Description: partial 16S ribosomal RNA
Rfam family: Bacterial small subunit ribosomal RNA
Source: RNAcentral
ACAGCAGUCGCCACGGUAAUACGUAGGUGGCAAGCGUUGUCCGGAUUUAUUGGGCGUAAAGCGAGCGCAGGCGGUUAGAUAAGUCUGAAGUUAAAGGCUGUGGCUUAACCAUAGUACGCUUUGGAAACUGUUUAACUUGAGUGCAAGAGGGGAGAGUGGAAUUCCAUGUGUAGCGGUGAAAUGCGUAGAUAUAUGGAGGAACACCGGUGGCGAAAGCGGCUCUCUGGCUUGUAACUGACGCUGAGGCUCGAAAGCGUGGGGAGCAAACAGGAUUAGAUACCCCCGUAGUCCCUGUCUCUUAUACA